Molecule: ribosomal RNA, 253 nt
Filed under: uncultured bacterium
Lineage: Bacteria
Description: partial 16S ribosomal RNA
Rfam family: Bacterial small subunit ribosomal RNA
Source: RNAcentral
UACGAAGGGGGCUAGCGUUGCUCGGAAUCACUGGGCGUAAAGGGUUCGUAGGUGGCCAACUAAGUCAGACGUGAAAUCCCUCAGCUUAACUGGGGAACUGCGUCUGAGACUGGAUGGCUUGAGUGCAGGAGAGGAACGCGGAAUUCCAGGUGUAGCGGUGAAAUGCGUAGAUAUCAGGAGGAACACCGGUGGCGAAGGCGGAUCUCUGGGCCAUAACUGACGCUGAGGAGCGAAAGCAUGGGGAGCGAACAGG